RNAcentral lists this long non-coding RNA (4507 nucleotides) under Mytilus galloprovincialis (Mediterranean mussel). Lineage: Eukaryota; Metazoa; Mollusca; Bivalvia; Mytilida; Mytilidae. The record is from RNAcentral.
GUAAACUUGGCGAAGCUUGACAAUGGGACAUUUUAUUUUGGUGUUUUCCGAUAUUAUCUUUCUUGUCAAAUGAUUGUUUUUAAAUGUUUGUUUAACUUUUAAAGGUGAGAUAUGGCGCUCCAUUUAUAAUAAAUAUGUACACAAGUCAAUUUAUGGGUGACUUAAGGAUUAUAUGUAAAUAAUAAUACGGCGAUAAGAUUAGCUCGGUGGCUUGGAGAUUAACUGAAGUUGUAUAGUGAUUUUGUCAAAUUUGUCAAUCAAUAUUAAUAUAUAUAGCAACCAGGAAUGAUAUUCUAAGCAGUGGGUUUAUGAUAAUUACUGCCAAUUUUAGGAAUGAUAUUCUAAGCAGUAGGUUCAUGAUAAUAACUGCCAAUUUUAGGACUUGACAUCAUAUAAUGGAACUUCAAGCAUUUUGAUAAGAGGGAAAAAGUGAAUAAUCCAGAAGGUAUGUAUUCUUUAGUAUUCAUGUCCUAUAAAAAGUAUGUUUGUUAAUCCAAAAUCUGAAGUACAGUAUCUUAUGGUCGGGGUUAAUUCCUAGGGGAUAAUAAGUACAGUAUCUUAUGGUUGGGGUUAAUUCCUAGGGGAUAAUAAGUACAGUAUCUUAUGGUUGGGGUGAAUUCCUAGGGGAUAAUAAGUACAGUAUCUUAUGAUGGUUGGGUGAAUUCCUAGGGGAUAAUAAGUACAGUAUCUUAUGGUUGGGGUGAAUUCCUAGGGAUAAUAAGUCAGGUAUGGUAUCUUAUGGGUGAAUUCCUAGGGAUAAUAAGUACAGUAUCUUAUGGUUGGGUGAAUUCCUAGGGAUAAUAAGUACAGUAUCUUAUGGUUGGGGUGAAUUCCAGGGAUAAUAAGUACAGUAUCUUAUGGUUGGGGAGAAUUCCUAAGGGAUAAUAAAUACAGUAUCUUAUGGUUGGGGUGAAUUCCUAGGGGAUAAUAAGUACAGUAUCUUAUGGUUGGGGUGAAUUCCUAGGGGAUAAUAAGUACAGUAUCUUAUGGUUGGGGUGAAUUCCUAGGGGAUAAUCAGAAGAUCGUAAUAGUGAGGUUCUGGAUCCGCUCGCUGUAUGAUGAGGCUAACGUAUAAAUGAUAGAUCUAACCGUUUCAAAAAUACAGAACGACAACUUUGAAACGAUGAUAGAGAUAUCUGACGAAACUUGAUUUUUUUUACUUUGAAAAACUGGUUUGUUUCUAAAAAAACAAAAUAGUACUAGAGCGUUUUUGUAAUAUGGGAUUGGAUUUGUACCUUCUGUUCCCUUUUGAUCAGUCCAGCACAGCAGUUUCCUCAUGUUUUGAAAAUUAUCAAUGUGGAUUUGUUUUUUGUUAUUUUUAGGAAUGGCGCUGUUCAAUUGGUUUUGAUUUAUGAGUUUGAAUGUUCCUUUGGUAUCGUUCGCCUCCUCCUUUUAUAUAAAAAGAAACAACAACGUACACGGAUCUUUAUAGUUAAAUUAACAACAUGUGCAAGGGGCUCAGAUCACAUAGGGGCAAACUGUUUUAAUCCAUUAUCCCUAUAAACCUUACUAAACAACAGAUACAUUUGUUGUACGGUUACUGAUAUUGUUAGUUAGGAUGGUAUGUCAAUGAAUCAAAUGACCUGACAGCAGUGUCACAAUGUUUAUGCUGCACAUUUCUUCAACUCAAAAAUAAGGAAACAGAUAUCUGAUAAAGAAUUCCUUAUAAGUUGCCGACACUUACAGUGUAAAUAGAGUUAAUGAAUUAGACCGUGACAAAAACAGUAGUACAUUUAUUUGAACAUUUAUAUAAACUGAUAUACAUUGAAGGAAAGAUCUCUAUAAUUAUAUUCAGUAAAAUCUUGCUCAAAACAGGUAAUAUAUCUGGGAUAUGUAAGGAACCUGUAACCUACAACACUGUCAUUUUCUUAAUUGUGAAUCUAUAUUAAUGUUUACUGAAAAACAAAUUAUAAAAAAAACCGCCGUACUAUUUUUCCAAAAUUAUUAGGGAGCAACCAUUUAACUUAAAAAAAGGGGGGGGGUAUGUUUUUUUGAUUCAGUCCAAGGUUGUUUUUUUUUUUGUCAUCAGCUUGACAAGGAUACUCUUUUUUCGUCAAAUUAGAAUUUUUUUUUUGAAAAAAAGCAUACCCCCCUUUGAAGUUAAAUGGUCGUACCCUUAGGCCUAUGUCUAUGUUUUUAUAAUUAUAGUGUAUUCCUAACAAUUCAAAAAGAAGUAAAUAAAAGUAUGUUCAGCUAUAACACGUCCGCCCCAAUCUGUUUAUCUACGGAUUUAAUGUAUAUAUAAUUACGACUUAAUGCUUCCAUAAUCAAACAUGUGUUUAAUCCUGAACAAACGACGAGUAGACAUAUUACGAUUCCUUAUUAUCCACCAAAUGUUUGCUUCACAUCACUGACUUCAGUCUAUUUACAUCGUUUGUACCUUGGUUCGUAUUUAAUUAUUACCGAAAAUAUAUAAUUUCUAUCAUAUAUUGUAUUGCUUUGCUAGUCUUAUUAAACUAUAUUAUUUUGACUUUUAAAAAGAACAGAUUAUAAGUCUUAGUAAUGUAUUAAAUCUCUGUUAUUUAUCUUUUUUUUCAUUUAUGAUUUGAAAGCGUAUGGAAACUAUUGCCGAAUAUGCAAUCAAAACAUAUAUAUUUAAUAAAGAACGUCUGGCAUGAAAAUUAAAUAGUCUUAUUCAUCAAACAUGUCAAAGAGUAAAUCUACACUUCGUCAUGAAUUAAACUUUUUCAAAACGUAUUCAUACGAUUUUGUACAGCUUUGCAAUAACCAAUGAUUACAUUGAGUAUGUAAAUAUGGCUCACAAAAUGCUGACAAAAUGAAAUAGAUAUAAGAAGGUGUGGUAUGAGUGCCAAUGAGAAAAUAGUCCAUCAGUUUCGAUGCCAAACAUCACAGUAUAUUUAAGUCUUAGCAUUAUUUAUGUUGAAUUUCAUUUGUUAUCCUGUAUCACAAUUGUUUUAAAUAUACUGUUAUGUUUGGAAUACAAAAUAUAAUUGCUAUAUGUUAACUUUAUUUCUAAGCUGGCACUCACAUUUAAAUAUUUUUCUAUCUUUGUGUUGGUAAAUAAAUGCAUUUGUCUUACAUUCAGGCUAAGACUAGAACUGUAACUUAUCAUUUGUUGAUUUGUACUCAUUCGUUCACUUGUUUAUGAUCCUUUUUAUAUUUCCAGUGAGAUAAUGCCGGGCGAUAUAUCAGGCCCAGAUUUACAACUAGCUAGACCAAAGACAAGUCCAGCAGCUAUUACUAGAACCGGAAGAAGAGGAAAAUCAAAACAGGAGGAAUCAACUCCGGAAUAUCAUGUUGAAUUACUUGAAUACGAAUGGCCUGAUUUACCACCGAUUCCGCAUAUGAAAGAUGCAAUAACAAGAGAGAAAGUAAGCAAGGGUAUCAGUUACCUCUUACCAAUUGAUAAAGCUAAAAACUCGAUUGAUAACAAAUACAGAACGGACCUCAGGGCCAUGUUUCAAGAGCCGUAUGCUAAUGACGACCUUGGAUACGAUGAUAGCAAGGUCAAACUUAGUGCGCAUGUACAUUUUGAUACAAAUGCCGUGGACACAAAAUGGUCAAAAUCUUUACUGAAGCAAAUACCUGUAGAAAUCAAUUCAGAUUCUGAUAAAUUUAGGAAAUUGUAUGCACGUUCAGCGCCAAUUGGGCGCUCAAAAACAAUGGGUUUGGAUACGGACAAAAUAAGAACCCGAUCAUGCCGUUAUCUACCAAUGAAAACAGUUCAACAUCCUGAAGCUAUGGAACUCCGACAGGAAGUAGAAAAAAUAAUCAGAACUGUAUAUAGUGAUAAUGAGGAUAGCGAUGUUGAGACGGAGGUGGGGGAUACCAACGCCUCCCGUCAUGGCAGGCGGUUUUCACUUUAUCCUAGACGAGUUUCUGAGUAUAGACCACGUUUAAAUACAGAAACUGAUAGCUACCAGUCUAUUAAGCCGCCACGUUUAAAACUAACAGCGGAUAAAUUUAAUAGUUAUGAACAAUUGAAAUUCACGAAACCACCUAAAGCAGUGAUACCGGAACUAUUUAUAUGUAAACAUAUUAAAAAAGAACGUGCUCAAGAAAUUUGGGAAUGGUUACAUUACGGGGAAGAAAUGUCAGAAUUUGAAUAUUUUCUAUCUGUAUGUGGGUAAAUAAAUGCAUUUGUUACAUAAAGUUUGUUGUGGACGACUUUUUCAGAAUGUAUAUGCAAAGUACACCAGAAAGUCCCAACCCAUAGCCCUCAUAUCCAUGGACUAUAUUGAAUGGGCAUUUAUCGUCAGUCUUAAAUUACAAUUUAAGGAUCAAAAUGGACAAGUACAUAUGCAUUCUAUUAAGUAGAAACUGAAACCUUUUCCAUGGAAAUGUGAGAUGCAGAUUCUAAAACAUAACUUAUGUAGUUUCCCAAAGGAAAAAGGAAACAUUCUUUAAAAGUAUAAAAAUCACUAAUGGUGGUAUUACUGUUUACUGUUUAUAGUACUUGAUUUUCUGCUGAACGUUAUAUAUAUUCUUCCAUCCCACUCAUUUUCUGCUUUACUGAUUCAUAUUUUGUUUGUACUGCGAGUUGUCU